CCUACGGGGGCUGCAGUGGGGAAUAUUGGACAAUGGGCGAAAGCCUGAUCCAGCCAUGCCGCGUGUGUGAAGAAGGCCUUCGGGUUGUAAAGCACUUUCAGUGGGGAAGAAAGCCUUGGGGCUAAUACCCUCGAGGAAGGACAUCACCCACAGAAGAAGCACCGGCUAACUCCGUGCCAGCAGCCGCGGUAAUACGGAGGGUGCGAGCGUUAAUCGGAAUUACUGGGCGUAAAGCGCGCGUAGGCGGUCUGAUAAGCCGGUUGUGAAAGCCCCGGGCUCAACCUGGGAACGGCAUCCGGAACUGUCAGGCUAGAGUGCAGGAGAGGAAGGUAGAAUUCCCGGUGUAGCGGUGAAAUGCGUAGAGAUCGGGAGGAAUACCAGUGGCGAAGGCGGUCUUCUGGACUGACACUGACGCUGAGGUGCGAAAGCGUGGGUAGCAAACAGGAUUAGAUACCCGUGUAGUC
RNAcentral lists this ribosomal RNA (464 nucleotides) under Vreelandella stevensii. Its description in RNAcentral is "partial 16S ribosomal RNA". It matches the Rfam family "Bacterial small subunit ribosomal RNA", at positions 338 to 795 of the family's 1533-position model. The record is from RNAcentral. Lineage: Bacteria; Pseudomonadati; Pseudomonadota; Gammaproteobacteria; Oceanospirillales; Halomonadaceae.